Molecule: non-coding RNA, 2240 nt
Organism: Phoenix dactylifera (date palm)
Lineage: Eukaryota; Viridiplantae; Streptophyta; Magnoliopsida; Arecales; Arecaceae
Source: RefSeq, a predicted model, not a curated record
GUCACAGUCCGCGACUUGCCGACUUCCCGAGUUCCCGUCUUCUACUCUUCUCUUUAGGGUUAGGACUUAGGGUUUGUGCUGCGCCGCCCGAGCUCCAUUCCGCUAUUCCCUCUCUCAAGUCAGGCCUCAGUCUCUCUCGAGUCUCUCCCCUCUCCUCCGGACCUCCGCCUCCUCCCUCUCCUCCUCCGUGCCGACAACUUUGGCCUCCCCGUCGACGGCGACCGUGGCGGCUUGAGGACCACACUCCACCAUCCGCAAUUUCUCCUUAGUUAGGGACUUAAGGUUAGGGUUUGUGUGCCGCCCGAGCUCUAUUCCCUCCCUCAGUCUCUCUCGAGUCUCUCCCCUCUCCUCUCCUUCGGAUUCUUCACCUCCCGAGCCCUCUCCUCCGGACCUCCGCCUCCGCCCUCUCCUCCCCUGUGCCGACAACUUCAGCCUCCCCGUCGACGGCGACCGUGGCGGCUCGACGGGUCCUGGGAACCAAGGUUGAACGGAAGAGCUCAUAAAGAGGUCGGAUCCUCUGCUCUACCGAGUGCAUUUACAGUUGUUGGAAAGUAGAAGCAGUUGAACAUCUAAGUAUUAGAGAUUAUUUUGAUAAAUCUGACUCAACAAAAUAUAUGCUUGCUUCUUCUAAAACUCCAACUGGUAUCACAUCAACUCAUAGAGAUAUGGAGACCGGUACUUCUUCUAAAACUUCAAAGGCAUUUAGAAAAGCAGAUGCUUUUAAGUUGCCUCUGAAUCUGCUUUUAGUAUCGGUGGGCGAGUACUUGAUAAGUAUCGUAGUGCUCUUAAACCGGAUAUUGCCAAGGCCUUGAUUUGUACUCGAGAUUGGGUGUUUGAAAAGAAAGAUGUUGAGGAGGCCGAGUUAGAUGAGACUGUAGAAGAUGUCAUAAACUCAAAUUCCUACAAUGAAACUCAAUUAACUCAAUGCUCGGCCAAUGUUGAAUCUAGUUCAUAGUGAGAUGAAUCAUGAUCAUGGAUACUCCUUUUUGGUUUUGGUUUAAAUAUGGAUGUUGUUAUUGUUUCUCUCCUUUUUUAGUUUUGCUUUGACUAUGGAUGGUGUCAUUUGACUUAUGGAGUUAUGGACCUUAUGAUGGUGGUUAUUCAAUAUUAAGUUGAUAUUUAUAGCUAUUUGGUAGUUUCUUAUUCAAUAUAUGAAUGCUUUAUAGAAACUAUGAAUCUUGCUGUUUUCUUGAAAUCAUUCUUAUGUUAUAAUGAGAAAGGUUCAUUCUUAUAAUCUUAUGUUAUUCAAUAUAGCUAUUUGAUAGUUUCUUUUGCUAGAUUCUUUUUUUGCACAGGUUGCUAUUGUAAGUUUGUAACUUUGGGACAAAGCAAGAACAUUCAUCUGGAGAUUGCCAAGCAAAAGGAAAUUCAUCUUGAUGUAUGCAAUGUUGUUUUUAUUUUUAUUCAAUAAUAGUCUAAUAGCCAUCACCGGAGGGACAAGAGGUGAAGAUAUUAGGUGUUCAGUUGGUCUGAUGAUCUGGGUCUGCGAUUCUUGGUUGUAGUUCUAUUGGCCUGGCUUUGUUUGUUAGGGACGCAUGGAGUUGGUGCAGGCAACUGGUACUUGAUCUGUUCAAUCACAUAACUUUUGUCCCCUUAUAUUGAGUAAGUUACAGAGUGAUGUUUUGCGGGAAGCAAUCUCUCAGAUUGCAAAUGAUUCUCCAGAGAAGAAGCGCAAUUUUACUGAAACCAUUGAGCUACAAAUUGGUCUGAAAAACUAUGACCCCCAAAAAGAUAAGCAUUUUAGUAGAUCUUAUGUUUACCUAAUAUAAUUUUUAAUGGCAAACAUCAUACAAAUAACUUGUCCAAUGCAUUUGAAUUCAGGGCCUGGUUGUUCUUCUAUUGGCUAUGGAGAGCAGAGGAACUUGGACCUUUCUUAAUACAAAAAGGUGUGCCAGAGCUCAAAUUCAACAAGCAUUCUUGGAAUCGGAGGAAUUGCGACUCAUCACUCGCCUAUACUGACAGAGAAAAUAGGGCUUGAUUAUAUGGAUUUUGAAGCACUAAAAAAAUGAACAAAAACAAGAAGCUGGUCAAAAAGCUUGCUAAGAAGUACCAUGCUUUCCUAGCAUCAGAGGCAAUCAUGUAUAUUGACAUUUGUUCUAUGUGAAGCAGAUUUUCUUUUCGGGCUAUUCCAUAUGUAAAUUUGGAUGAUUUGACUUGUAUUCCUUGUCUUUGUAAAGAUUAAAUAUUUUUUGAAUAUUGCUGGUAUUAGAUGAAUGAAUUAACUUGUAUCCUUAUGUUCA